RNAcentral lists this ribosomal RNA (501 nucleotides) under Triticum aestivum (bread wheat). RNAcentral describes it as "partial small subunit ribosomal RNA". The record is from RNAcentral. Lineage: Eukaryota; Viridiplantae; Streptophyta; Magnoliopsida; Poales; Poaceae.
AUGGUAUCUAUUCAGAAACAAUUCAUCCCACAAAAUAUAAGCCAACAACUCCCGAACACGCGCCUAUUCAUUAUCCCAGCCUACCUUCAGUAUGGAUGGAGUGUGUAUUGUUGGGACAUGAAGAGGAAGAUCAUCCACAUGUGCGAUCCACUGGCUGAUGCAUGUUCUUACACUGCCCAAAAAGCCAGCCAUGUAAUUAUUGCUGACAACCUUCACAAUGCCCUCUUCACCUGUUUGAACAAGUUUUUCAAAUCAUGGCAUGUUGAAUCAGCUAAUUGGAAGAAAAACUUCCAGUUUCUUUCCGCCACAUUGUUUGACCGCAAUGAGAGUGGCGACUGUAUGAUUCACAUGGCUCGUUACUUCAACGGCAUCGGUCUUGCUACAAAGCUAAACAAUGAAACACUUGUUCAUGAGAAGAAACUCAUGGUGGCCGAGUUACUGCAGUUAGAUGGCAACCUCGCCAGCCUCCGAGCAACGCUCAAAACAAUCUUGCAUGGAUAG